Molecule: long non-coding RNA, 1190 nt
Filed under: Bactrocera latifrons
Lineage: Eukaryota; Metazoa; Arthropoda; Insecta; Diptera; Tephritidae
Description: uncharacterized LOC108975308, transcript variant X2
Source: RNAcentral
UAUUGAUGCGGGAUUAUUGCUGUGGUUAGGUGUUCGGUGACUGAAGCUCAUGUAGACAAUAAUUUUGUCGAAAUUACUUAAAUAUAAAUACAUAUGUAUAUUUCUUUUUAUUCAUAAGGAAGUAAAAUGAGAAUAGGGCUGUAAGCUAUUUUUAUUCUUGUUCAUAGUUGGAAAAAGUAACACAUCGCCAUUUCUUCAAUGUUCCAUUAGAUAGACUAAUUGUGAAUAUGGAACGCUGUCUUAUCCUAAGUUACAUCUUAUAUGUGUAUCUUGUUUGUUGUGUUUUGGUUAACAGAAUGACAUACAUUGGUUAUCAAAUCGGUUAACAAUCCCUAAAAUUGUUUAAAACAGCAACAUUCAUCAUACGAAAUGUUUGAAUGUUUAAGAAUGAGACGCACAUACUGACAAUGAAUCCUAUACAAAUUGACGCCAUUGUUACAAAUAUUUUAUUAAAAACCCGAAUAAUUGGAAGAAGAAGUAUUAAAUAUUUUUGAUAUAUUAUUGAAAUUUUAUGUAGCAGUCAUUGUANAAUUGCGAAAUUACGACCAAGUGCCAUGAGGACCUGUUAUAGCAGGCUUCUAACAACUUCUCUCAAAUCUGCCAUCAGUAGCAGCAGAUUCCCAGGCUAAUUCAAUAAAAAAAGCUGCAGUUAUUAAAAAAUCGUGGAUCUUACGAACACCAUGCAACAAUUCGACGUAAAUAUGUAUGCUGUAAGAUUUGGUUUCGAUAAUAGUUGAUUUGUGAUACGGGUUUGCAGCAACCAUUAGGAACCUUGGCGAAGAUGUGCUGCUGUGUCAUCAAACAACAUAACAUUGUGUGUACAUAUAUAUAGAAAUUCUGAUGUAUGCAGUUACAUACAUAUAUAAAAUGUGCGUCGCUUGGCCAAUACACUUAGAAGAAAAAAUGGACCAUUUUUUUUUACAGCAUUUGCGGACGAGCUAUUAGCUGCUUCCCGGCUGAAUUUCUCAAAACUAAGGGUGUUUGUGUACCAGAAGCUCAUUCGACAUUUCCUUAUUCAAACGACACAGUUGUGUUGAAAGCGGUAGCACCUAUGCAAGUUGGUGAAGAAAUUUGCAUAUCCUACUUGGAUGAGUACCAGCUGGAGCACACAAAAUUAAGUAGUAACUAUAGUAUUUAUUUUUAAAGUUUAAUAUAGAUGCCUAAACAAAUACAGACAAAAUAUAAUUUAA